Cyprinus carpio (common carp) is the source of this 1027-nucleotide long non-coding RNA. RefSeq lists it as uncharacterized. Lineage: Eukaryota; Metazoa; Chordata; Actinopteri; Cypriniformes; Cyprinidae. The transcript is spliced from 4 exons. The record is from RefSeq and is a predicted model, not a curated record.
ACAGUCUCACUCCCUACUCGUCAAAUGUCUGACGCAUGGUCAAGGGACCCUGGCGUCACUUUUUAACGCACUGGGUAUACCUUUGGCGUCAUUUUUCAACGUGCAGGGUAGUCCGAUAGACUUCUAUAGAACUCAACAGUGUUGAAAUUUGACGUCUUGGGUCAGCACACCGCAACCCGUUGUCUGCCUUGUAUGGGUGGAGACUACAAUAAAUAAAAAUAAAAAGGAAUAGGCUACAAAAAAGGAUCUAUGCCAGGGCGAGCAAAUGGCGGCCCCCAGAUCAUUUUUAUCUGGCCCUCCAACUGGUUUUUUGAUGUUUAAAAACCCUCUCAAUCUGAUAUCAAAGUGCCCUCUGCGCAAAGGUUUAGCGCGUUCAUCAGCGGUGAGUUUAACAACACUCAACUGCAGGUAAAACGGCAUUCAGAGGUGAGUUUGACCAAAGCAACGCUCAACUGCAGGUAAAAGCAUUAAAAUGUGAGUUUAACAACGCUCCAAGGCGCGUGCAAGUAAGCAGUUUAAGCGUUUUAUUACAACCCAUUCUCACUCCUAAAGCGCCAAAAACUGACGCCUCUAGCGUCACUAUGAAGACGCCAAAGGCGCCCCUCGGCGUCGCUAUAUCGACGCACUAGGACCUACAUUGCUUUUAGUGGGAAACUUUUGGCGUCAGUACUCAGACGCGAAGGGCAUGAGAUGUUUAUCGCUAUGAAAUCACGUUCAAGAAGUCUCAUUCAGCGCACAUCGCGAUAUUUGCCAUCAGUUUACAUGUGCCACAGGUUGGCUGAAAAGACAUGAAGGAAGCAGUCAGCCCAGUCGUGUUUGUGGAGAGGUAUUCCUUCAGAAAAUGGAGAAGAUAGAAAGCUGCGGAGGCAGACAUUUGCAGCAGUCUACAACAUCGAGCUCAACAGAUCUUUUAAGAGCCAACCCUCACAAACCUUGCUCUCAGCGAAUCUUGCCAUGAUCAGCCCUUUCCAGAAGAGAAGAUCAAGGAAAUUAUUUGUUCAGGAUGAGGAAUGAAGACGGCCAUCUU